RNAcentral lists this unclassified non-coding RNA (264 nucleotides) under Hevea brasiliensis (rubber tree). Lineage: Eukaryota; Viridiplantae; Streptophyta; Magnoliopsida; Malpighiales; Euphorbiaceae. The record is from RNAcentral.
GCCUCUCUGUGCUUGAAUCCAAUCAUCAAAUCUGAUUUGACGGUCUUAAGCAUGCAAGUCAUGUCUUUCUCUGCCAAAGCCUCCUUCAUCUUGAUGCGAUCUUCAAGGAAUUUUCUCUCUUGAACGAGAGUUUUAAGCUGUUCUUGCUGGUCCAUGAGCAAUUUUACCAGGCUGUCAAAUAAGUUAUCGACAUGAGAGCGUUUUGUAGUACCCAUUUAUAACUUCAUUACAACAAGAACCAAGAAGAAGGAGAUCGAAGACUAG